RNAcentral lists this ribosomal RNA (1404 nucleotides) under Triticum aestivum (bread wheat). RNAcentral's name for it is "partial small subunit ribosomal RNA". Lineage: Eukaryota; Viridiplantae; Streptophyta; Magnoliopsida; Poales; Poaceae. The record is from RNAcentral.
AUGGCCUACGUAGCCGAGGAGGAGGAGGAGGACCCUGAGGAGGUGGAGCCGUGGAUUUCCUCCGACUCGGAGCCGGACGAGCACCCGGCGCCCGAGCCGCGGAGCCCUUCCCCCGACACGGAGCCGGAGCAGCCGCCGCCGCCGGCACCGCAGUCGCCGCCUGCGCCGACGAAUUCGGCGUCCGAGGCGGCGGAGGAGGGGCAGAAGGCGGCGCCUUGGCCCGGGUUUCCCGGCGCGAGCGUGUUCCGGCUGGUCGUGGCCGGGGACAAGGUGGGCGGUCUCAUCGGCCGCCGGGGCGAGAUCGUCAAGCGCCUCUGCGAGGUGACCCGCGCCCGCGUCCGCGUCCUCGACGCCGCGGACGGCGUCUCCAGCCGGAUUGUCUUGAUAUCCGCAACAGAAGAAACACAAGCAGAACUGGCACCUGCUAUGGAUGCUACAGUUAGGAUCUUCAAGCAUGUAAAUGAUAUAGAAGGGAUCAAUCCUGAUGUCACAUUAUCUGCUUCUGCACCAGAAAUUUGUUGCGCUAGAUUACUGGUUCCUAAAGCACAAGCGGUGCACUUAAUUGGCAAGCAAGGAACCAUGAUCAAGUUAAUGCAAGAAACUACUGGUGUUACCAUAAGGAUUAUAGAUCAAGACGACCUUUUGAGCAAUCAGAUGGUGGUUGAAAGAAUUGUGGAGAUACGUGGUGCUUCCCUCAAGGUCCUCAAUGCCCUAAAAUCAGUACUUGGACUUCUCCGGAAGUUCCUAGUUGAUCAUAGCGUCCUUCAUCUAUUUGAAAGAAAGAACCAAGCAAUGGUUCAGGUGCAGGAUAGUUCUGAAGAAAAUCAGGUUACGGUUACCAAUGGUUAUGCUCUUCCAGUGAACCAGGACCUUUUGUUAUCUGACAGUCGAAGUCCUCUCAACAUGAGUGGCAGCAGAUAUUUGUUGUAUGGACGAGGCCCAUCUGUUUGUGACCCAUAUUCAUCAGAUAUCAGACACCCAACCGUUCCCUUAAUACCGAAGAUUACGCAGACAAUGCAGAUCCCUUUGCUGCAAGCUGAAGAGAUAAUUGGUGUCAGGGGACGGACCAUUGCUCAUAUACGUUCUGUCAGUGGAGCGGUGGUUGUCCUCGAGGAAACUGGAAAUUAUCUGGAUGAGGUUCUAGUUUCAAUCAAAGGCACUUCUUCGCAAGUUCAGACUGCGCAUCAACUCAUACAGGAGGUCCUACUGGGCGACAGAAAAGUUCUACCACCCAGGAGCAGCGGCUACGGCAACCCUGACGCUGGCCCGGUCAGGCCGCGGUUCGACCCGUGCGGCGCUCCAGCGAGUCCGGAGUACGCCCCGCCUCUGUACAGCGACUACCUGUCAUCGUCCAGCAGCGUCCGCCACUAUCACUCUGCUGCUUACCACGGGUACAGGCUGUAG